RNAcentral lists this ribosomal RNA (360 nucleotides) under Pelobates cultripes (western spadefoot toad). It matches the Rfam family "Eukaryotic small subunit ribosomal RNA", at positions 70 to 434 of the family's 1831-position model. Lineage: Eukaryota; Metazoa; Chordata; Amphibia; Anura; Pelobatidae. The record is from RNAcentral.
GCGGUGUAGGCGGAAGCAACGGUGGUGGCAGAGGAUGAGGUAGCCAACACUGUUUUUUUAUAUAUAUAUAUUUUUAAUUGGGGUAGCCCCCAAAAUAUUGGGACAUAUGAAAAAAGACAAUUCUGUUCCGCAGAGUUGCUGUUGACAUUAUAGUUGCGCAGGCACUUUGUUGACUCUAGAGAACCUCAGGCCAAUCGCACAUCCCUGUGACGGCAACUUUGCAUUCGGAUGUCAUCCAUAUCAACUUUCUAUGGCAGUUUCUGCGCCUACCAUGGUGACCACUGGUAACAGGGAAUCAGGGUUCCAUUCCAUACAGGGACCCUGAGAAAUGGCUACCACAUGCAAAGAAGGCAGCAGGCG